Long non-coding RNA from Myotis davidii, 117 nucleotides. RefSeq lists it as uncharacterized. The transcript has 3 exons. NCBI's taxonomy places the organism in Eukaryota, Metazoa, Chordata, Mammalia, Chiroptera, Vespertilionidae. The record is from RefSeq and is a predicted model, not a curated record.
AUUAAAUGUUUAUAAAAAAGCAGUAGAGCCCUAACCGGGUUGAUUCAGUGGAUAGAGCGUCAGCCUGCAGACGCAAGGGUCCCAGGUUCGAAUCCGGUCAAGGGCAUGUACCUUGGU